This 66-nucleotide transfer RNA is filed under the name Lucilia shenyangensis. RNAcentral's name for it is "tRNA-Phe". The record is from RNAcentral. Lineage: Eukaryota; Metazoa; Arthropoda; Insecta; Diptera; Calliphoridae.
GUUCAAAUAGCUUAUAACUAGAGUAUGACAUUGAAGAUGUUAGGGAGAUUAAUUUAUCUUUGAAUA